Molecule: ribosomal RNA, 497 nt
Filed under: uncultured bacterium
Lineage: Bacteria
Description: partial 16S ribosomal RNA
Rfam family: Bacterial small subunit ribosomal RNA
Source: RNAcentral
GAUGAACGCUGGCGGCGUGCCUAAUACAUGCAAGUCGAGCGAACAGACGAGGAGCUUGCUCCUCUGACGUUAGCGGCGGACGGGUGAGUAACACGUGGAUAACCUACCUAUAAGACUGGGAUAACUUCGGGAAACCGGAGCUAAUACCGGAUAAUAUAUUGAACCGCAUGGUUCAAUAGUGAAAGACGGUUUUGCUGUCACUUAUAGAUGGAUCCGCGCCGCAUUAGCUAGUUGGUAAGGUAACGGCUUACCAAGGCAACGAUGCGUAGCCGACCUGAGAGGGUGAUCGGCCACACUGGAACUGAGACACGGUCCAGACUCCUACGGGAGGCAGCAGUAGGGAAUCUUCCGCAAUGGGCGAAAGCUUGACGGGGCAACGCCGCGUGAGUGAUGAAGGUCUUCGGAUCGUAAAACCCUGUUAUUAGGGAAGAACAAAUGUGUAAGUAACUAUGCACGUCUUGACGGUACCUAAUCAGAAAGCCACGGCUGACUACGUG